Molecule: ribosomal RNA, 231 nt
Filed under: Clostridioides difficile
Lineage: Bacteria; Bacillati; Bacillota; Clostridia; Peptostreptococcales; Peptostreptococcaceae
Description: partial 23S ribosomal RNA
Rfam family: Bacterial large subunit ribosomal RNA
Source: RNAcentral
CCGGGAUGGACGUACCUCUGGUGUACCAGUUGUCCUGCCAAGGGCAUGGCUGGGUAGCUAUGUACGGAAUGGAUAAGCGCUGAAAGCAUCUAAGCGCGAAGCCAACUUCAAGAUAAGAUUUCCCACCGCAAGGGUAAGACCCCAGAAAGACUAUCUGGUUGAUAGGUCGAAGGUGUAAGUGCAGUAAUGUAUUUAGCUUAUCGAUACUAAUAGGUCGAGGACUUGACCAAU